UUAAGUUCAGCGGGUAUUCCUACCUGAUCCGAGGUCAACCUUUCAGAAGUGGGGGGUUUAACGGCGUGGCCCCGAUCGGCCCCAGUGCGAGAUAUUGCUACUACGCAGAGGAGGCUAUCGCGAGACCGCCACUAGAUUUCAGGGACGGCGCGCCACGACGGGCGGGCCGAGCCCCAACACCGCGCCCCCCGGAGGGGGCA
RNAcentral lists this unclassified non-coding RNA (200 nucleotides) under Microcera sp. RNAcentral describes it as "partial internal transcribed spacer 2". Lineage: Eukaryota; Fungi; Ascomycota; Sordariomycetes; Hypocreales; Nectriaceae. The record is from RNAcentral.